UACGGGGGGGGCAAGCGUUGUUCGGAAUUACUGGGCGUAAAGGGCUCGUAGGCGGCCAACUAAGUCAGACGUGAAAUCCCUCGGCUUAACCGGGGAACUGCGUCUGAUACUGGAUGGCUAGAGGUUGGGAGAGGGAUGCGGAAUUCCAGGUGUAGCGGUGAAAUGCGUAGAUAUCAGGAGGAACACCAAUAGCGAAGGCAGCUCGCUGGGACGGUACUGACGCUAAGGCGCGAAAGCGUGGGGAGCGAACAGG
This 253-nucleotide ribosomal RNA is filed under the name uncultured bacterium. RNAcentral's name for it is "partial 16S ribosomal RNA". It matches the Rfam family "Bacterial small subunit ribosomal RNA", at positions 524 to 776 of the family's 1533-position model. The record is from RNAcentral.